Bolinopsis microptera is the source of this 95-nucleotide long non-coding RNA. RefSeq lists it as uncharacterized. The transcript has 2 exons. The record is from RefSeq and is a predicted model, not a curated record. Lineage: Eukaryota; Metazoa; Ctenophora; Tentaculata; Lobata; Bolinopsidae.
GGAAGAAGAACUAGAGCGAAGAGGGGGACCCGGUAUUUUGGGAAUAGAAGAACUAGAGCGAAGAGGGGGACACGGUAUUUUGGGAGAAGAAGAAC